RNAcentral lists this ribosomal RNA (344 nucleotides) under Staphylococcus aureus. RNAcentral describes it as "partial 23S ribosomal RNA". It matches the Rfam family "Bacterial large subunit ribosomal RNA", at positions 460 to 807 of the family's 2925-position model. Lineage: Bacteria; Bacillati; Bacillota; Bacilli; Caryophanales; Staphylococcaceae. The record is from RNAcentral.
CUAAGGCUAAAUACUCUCUAGUGACCGAUAGUGAACCAGUACCGUGAGGGAAAGGUGAAAAGCACCCCGGAAGGGGAGUGAAAUAGAACCUGAAACCGUGUGCUUACAAGUAGUCAGAGCCCGUUAAUGGGUGAUGGCGUGCCUUUUGUAGAAUGAACCGGCGAGUUACGAUUUGAUGCAAGGUUAAGCAGUAAAUGUGGAGCCGUAGCGAAAGCGAGUCUGAAUAGGGCGUUUAGUAUUUGGUCGUAGACCCGAAACCAGGUGAUCUACCCUUGGUCAGGUUGAAGUUCAGGUAACACUGAAUGGAGGACCGAACCGACUUACGUUGAAAAGUGAGCGGAUGA